Molecule: ribosomal RNA, 110 nt
Filed under: Chinchilla lanigera (long-tailed chinchilla)
Lineage: Eukaryota; Metazoa; Chordata; Mammalia; Rodentia; Chinchillidae
Source: RNAcentral
UCCAGCCAUCGCACCCUGAACACGCCCAAUCUUGUCUGAUUUCGGAAGCUCAGCAGGGUCGGCCUUGGUUAGUCCUUGGAUGGGAGGAGAGCAGGGCUCGUUGGCUGGGC